Molecule: ribosomal RNA, 2921 nt
Filed under: Klebsiella pneumoniae
Lineage: Bacteria; Pseudomonadati; Pseudomonadota; Gammaproteobacteria; Enterobacterales; Enterobacteriaceae
Description: 23S ribosomal RNA
Rfam family: Bacterial large subunit ribosomal RNA
Source: RNAcentral
GGGUUGUGAGGUUAAGCGACUAAGCGUACACGGUGGAUGCCCUGGCAGUCAGAGGCGAUGAAGGACGUGCUAAUCUGCGAAAAGCGUCGGUAAGGUGAUAUGAACCGUUAUAACCGGCGAUGUCCGAAUGGGGAAACCCAGUGUGAUUCGUCACACUAUCGUUAACUGAAUACAUAGGUUAACGAGGCGAACCGGGGGAACUGAAACAUCUAAGUACCCCGAGGAAAAGAAAUCAACCGAGAUUCCCCCAGUAGCGGCGAGCGAACGGGGAGCAGCCCAGAGUCUGAAUCAGCUUGUGUGUUAGUGGAACGGUCUGGAAAGUCCGACGGUACAGGGUGAUAGUCCCGUACACCAAAAUGCACAGGCUGUGAACUCGAAGAGUAGGGCGGGACACGUGGUAUCCUGUCUGAAUAUGGGGGGACCAUCCUCCAAGGCUAAAUACUCCUGACUGACCGAUAGUGAACCAGUACCGUGAGGGAAAGGCGAAAAGAACCCCGGCGAGGGGAGUGAAAAAGAACCUGAAACCGUGUACGUACAAGCAGUGGGAGCACCUUCGGGUGUGACUGCGUACCUUUUGUAUAAUGGGUCAGCGACUUAUAUUCUGUAGCAAGGUUAACCGUAUAGGGAGCCGCAGGGAAACCGAGUCUUAACUGGGCGUUAAGUUGCAGGGUAUAGACCCGAAACCCGGUGAUCUAGCCAUGGGCAGGUUGAAGGUUGGGUAACACUAACUGGAGGACCGAACCGACUAAUGUUGAAAAAUUAGCGGAUGACUUGUGGCUGGGGGUGAAAGGCCAAUCAAACCGGGAGAUAGCUGGUUCUCCCCGAAAGCUAUUUAGGUAGCGCCUCGUGAAUUCAUCUUCGGGGGUAGAGCACUGUUUCGGCUAGGGGGUCAUCCCGACUUACCAACCCGAUGCAAACUACGAAUACCGAAGAAUGUUAUCACGGGAGACACACGGCGGGUGCUAACGUCCGUCGUGAAGAGGGAAACAACCCAGACCGCCAGCUAAGGUCCCAAAGUCAUGGUUAAGUGGGAAACGAUGUGGGAAGGCACAGACAGCCGGAUGUUGGCUUAGAAGCAGCCAUCAUUUAAAGAAAGCGUAAUAGCUCACUGGUCGAGUCGGCCUGCGCGGAAGAUGUAACGGGGCUAAACCAUGCACCGAAGCUGCGGCAGCGACACUAUGUGUUGUUGGGUAGGGGAGCGUUCUGUAAGCCUGCGAAGGUGACCUGUGAGGGUUGCUGGAGGUAUCAGAAGUGCGAAUGCUGACAUAAGUAACGAUAAAGCGGGUGAAAAGCCCGCUCGCCGGAAGACCAAGGGUUCCUGUCCAACGUUAAUCGGGGCAGGGUGAGUCGACCCCUAAGGCGAGGCCGAAAGGCGUAGUCGAUGGGAAACAGGUUAAUAUUCCUGUACUUGGUGUUACUGCGAAGGGGGGACGGAGAAGGCUAUGUUAGCCGGGCGACGGUUGUCCCGGUUUAAGCAUGUAGGCUGAUUAUCCAGGCAAAUCCGGAUAAUCAAGGCUGAGGUGUGAUGACGAGGCACUACGGUGCUGAAGUAACAAAUGCCCUGCUUCCAGGAAAAGCCUCUAAGCAUCAGGUAACAUCAAAUCGUACCCCAAACCGACACAGGUGGUCAGGUAGAGAAUACCAAGGCGCUUGAGAGAACUCGGGUGAAGGAACUAGGCAAAAUGGUGCCGUAACUUCGGGAGAAGGCACGCUGGUGUGUAGGUGAAGUCCCUGCGGAUGGAGCUGAGACCAGUCGAAGAUACCAGCUGGCUGCAACUGUUUAUUAAAAACACAGCACUGUGCAAACACGAAAGUGGACGUAUACGGUGUGACGCCUGCCCGGUGCCGGAAGGUUAAUUGAUGGGGUUAUCCGUAAGGAGAAGCUCUUGAUCGAAGCCCCGGUAAACGGCGGCCGUAACUAUAACGGUCCUAAGGUAGCGAAAUUCCUUGUCGGGUAAGUUCCGACCUGCACGAAUGGCGUAAUGAUGGCCAGGCUGUCUCCACCCGAGACUCAGUGAAAUUGAACUCGCUGUGAAGAUGCAGUGUACCCGCGGCAAGACGGAAAGACCCCGUGAACCUUUACUAUAGCUUGACACUGAACAUUGAGCCUUGAUGUGUAGGAUAGGUGGGAGGCUUUGAAGCGUGGACGCCAGUCUGCGUGGAGCCAACCUUGAAAUACCACCCUUUAAUGUUUGAUGUUCUAACGUUGGCCCCUGACCGGGGUUGCGGACAGUGUCUGGUGGGUAGUUUGACUGGGGCGGUCUCCUCCCAAAGCGUAACGGAGGAGCACGAAGGUUAGCUAAUCCUGGUCGGACAUCAGGAGGUUAGUGCAAUGGCAUAAGCUAGCUUGACUGCGAGCGUGACGGCGCGAGCAGGUGCGAAAGCAGGUCAUAGUGAUCCGGUGGUUCUGAAUGGAAGGGCCAUCGCUCAACGGAUAAAAGGUACUCCGGGGAUAACAGGCUGAUACCGCCCAAGAGUUCAUAUCGACGGCGGUGUUUGGCACCUCGAUGUCGGCUCAUCACAUCCUGGGGCUGAAGUAGGUCCCAAGGGUAUGGCUGUUCGCCAUUUAAAGUGGUACGCGAGCUGGGUUUAGAACGUCGUGAGACAGUUCGGUCCCUAUCUGCCGUGGGCGCUGGAGAAUUGAGGGGGGCUGCUCCUAGUACGAGAGGACCGGAGUGGACGCAUCACUGGUGUUCGGGUUGUCAUGCCAAUGGCACUGCCCGGUAGCUAAAUGCGGAAGAGAUAAGUGCUGAAAGCAUCUAAGCACGAAACUUGCCCCGAGAUGAGUUCUCCCUGAGACUUUAAGUCUCCUGAAGGAACGUUAAAGACGAUGACGUUGAUAGGCCGGGUGUGUAAGCGCAGCGAUGCGUUGAGCUAACCGGUACUAAUGAACCGUGAGGCUUAACCUUACAACGCCGAAG